UGUGUAGGCGGGUCGUUAAGUGCCUUGUGAAAUCCCAUGGCUCAACCAUGGAACUGCUGGGCAUACUGGCGAUCUUGUGCAACCUAGGGGCGAGCGGAACAGAUGGUGGAGCGGUGAAAUGCGUAGAUAUCAUCUGGAACGCCAAUGGUGAAAACAGCUCGCUGGGGGUUUGCAGACGCUGAGACACGAAAGCCAGGGGAGCGAACGGGAUUAGAUACCCCGGUAGUCCUGGCCCUAAACGAUGUCGACUAGAUCGUAGUGCCUCUGACGGUAUUACGGUCGAAGCAAAAGUGCUAAGUCGACCGCCUGGGAAGUACGGUCGCAAGGCUAAA
This 332-nucleotide ribosomal RNA is filed under the name uncultured Planctomycetota bacterium. RNAcentral describes it as "bacterial SSU rRNA". It matches the Rfam family "Bacterial small subunit ribosomal RNA", at positions 568 to 898 of the family's 1533-position model. Lineage: Bacteria; Pseudomonadati; Planctomycetota. The record is from RNAcentral.